Molecule: long non-coding RNA, 642 nt
Organism: Chelonus insularis
Lineage: Eukaryota; Metazoa; Arthropoda; Insecta; Hymenoptera; Braconidae
Exons: 3
Source: RefSeq, a predicted model, not a curated record
CUCACAAAUCCACCAUAAUUCUAAAUUAUUUCAUCAAAUUUAUUUAUUCAUUAUAAUAAAUUGAUCCACUAAGGUCAAUAAUUGAGAUUCAUAAAAAACAUGCCAGAAUUGAUUAUUUUACUAUUAGACAAAAGUAGUAAAAAAUAAUAAUUACCAAAAGAGUAUUCAUUUUUUUUAAACAAUUGAAGAUAUAUAAAAUAUGUUUAUUUAUAUGCCAUAGAUUUUUUAUUUAUAUUUGAAAAGUAUUGAAUGAAUUAAAAAAUAAUAAAAUCGUGGCAGCUUCACGGGAUGUUCCUACUCAAAAGACAUCUACCAUUAUUAUUGAUUAUAGAGAAAGAUAUGCUGUUUAUACCUCAUCAGAAACAUCGACAUCAUCAGGGGUAGCUGUUAUUGAUAAUGAGGAAUUGACUAGUGAAUUAAAUCAACAAAUUACUAGUAAAAAAUCAAAUAUAAUCAGUGAAGAUGAGGAAGCUUUUUCACAAUUGACUUUGACGUACACUGACAGUAUUCCACUAAGACAAAGGCUGACUUUGAUUGGUUGGGAUAGUUUUCGUUCAAAUGCCAUAGUAGCAUUAAUUAUUCUCUUUAUAUUAUGGGCAAUCAUCUAUUUUGUAAUAAUUAAUUUAAUUUAAUUAUAUUAAA